GGUGGGUCAUCUUUUAUCUUUUACAGACCUAGUAUAGGUAUGCUUUAGGAGGGGCUUGCGCCAUAUUAGUUAGUUGGUAGGGUAAUGGCCUACCAAGACGAUGAUGUGUAGCUGGACUGAGAGGUUGAACAGCCACAUUGGGACUGAGACACGGCCCAAACUCCUACGGGAGGCAGCAGUAGGGAAUUUUCGGCAAUGGAGGAAACUCUGACCGAGCAACGCCGCGUGAAUGACGAAGUACUUCGGUAUGUAAAGUUCUUUUAUCAAGGAAGAAAAGCAAAUGGCGAACCAUUUGUUUGCCGGUACUUGAUGAAUAAGCCCCGGCUAAUUAUGUGCCAGCAGCCGCGGUAAGACAUAAGGGGCGAGUGUUAUCCGGAAUUAUUGGGCGUAAAGGGUGCGUAGGCGGUCUAGUAAGUCAGUGGUGUAAUGGCAACGCUUAACGUUGUCCGGCUAUUGAAACUGCUAAACUUGAGUUAGAUAGAGGCGAGUGGAAUUCCAUGUGUAGCGGUAAAAUGCGUAAAUAUAUGGAGGAACACCAGAGGCGUAGGCGGCUCGCUGGGUCUUAACUGACGCUGAGGCACGAAAGCGUGGGGAGCAAACAGGAUUAGAUACCCUGGUAGUCCACGCCGUAAACGAUGAGUACUAAGUGUCGGGUUAAACCGGUACUGAAGUUAACACAUUAAGUACUCCGCCUGAGUAGUACGUACGCAAGUAUGAAACUUAAAGGAAUUGACGGGACUCCGCACAAGCGGUGGAUCAUGUUGUUUAAUUCGAAGAUACCCGAAAAACCUUACCAGGUCUUGACAUGUUUUUGCAAAAUGAUAGUAAUAUCGUGGAGGUUACCAGAAACACAGGUGGUGCAUGGUUGUCGUCAGCUCGUGUCGUGAGAUGUUAGGUUAAGUCCUAAAACGAGCGAAACCCUUAUCGUUAGUUGCCAGCACGUUAUGGUGGGGACUUUAACGAGACUGCCAAUGAUAAAUUGGAGGAAGGUGAGGAUCACGUCAAAUCAGCAUGCCCCUUAUGACCUGGGCUACAAACGUGAUACAAUGGCUGUUACAAAGGGUAGCUGAAACGCAAGUUCUUGGCCAAUCCCCAAAAACAGUCCCAGUCCGGAUUGAAGUCUGCAACUCGACUUCAUGAAGUUGGAAUCGCUAGCAAUCGCGAAUCAGCAGUACCGACUCACGCACUAAAAGAA
This 1195-nucleotide ribosomal RNA is filed under the name Candidatus Phytoplasma citri. RNAcentral describes it as "bacterial SSU rRNA". It matches the Rfam family "Bacterial small subunit ribosomal RNA", at positions 158 to 1356 of the family's 1533-position model. Lineage: Bacteria; Bacillati; Mycoplasmatota; Mollicutes; Acholeplasmatales; Acholeplasmataceae. The record is from RNAcentral.